GUGCACUUGCCUGGAUGCAUGAAGCAGUUCAUACGAAGGGAGAGCACAUAUACUAAAAUUGGAACGAUAUAGAGAUUAGCGUGGUCCCUGUGCUAAAAUGACAUGCAAAAGCAUAAAGCGUUCUUUAUUUUU
Molecule: small nuclear RNA, 132 nt
Organism: Microtus ochrogaster (prairie vole)
Lineage: Eukaryota; Metazoa; Chordata; Mammalia; Rodentia; Cricetidae
Source: Ensembl